RNAcentral lists this ribosomal RNA (240 nucleotides) under uncultured Lactobacillus sp. Its description in RNAcentral is "partial 16S ribosomal RNA". It matches the Rfam family "Bacterial small subunit ribosomal RNA", at positions 122 to 355 of the family's 1533-position model. Lineage: Bacteria; Bacillati; Bacillota; Bacilli; Lactobacillales; Lactobacillaceae. The record is from RNAcentral.
UAACCUGCCCAAGAGAUCGGGAUAACACCUGGAAACAGAUGCUAAUACCGGAUAACAACAGAUGAUGCCUAUCAACUGUUUAAAAGAUGGUUAUGCUAUCACUCUUGGAUGGACCUGCGGUGCAUUAGCUAGUUGGUAGGGUAACGGCCUACCAAGGCGAUGAUGCAUAGCCGAGUUGAGAGACUGAUCGGCCACAUUGGGACUGAGACACGGCCCAAACUCCUACGGGAGGCAGCAGCC